This 259-nucleotide long non-coding RNA is filed under the name Carica papaya (papaya). RNAcentral describes it as "long non-coding RNA (CPAP_LNC008489)". The record is from RNAcentral. Lineage: Eukaryota; Viridiplantae; Streptophyta; Magnoliopsida; Brassicales; Caricaceae.
UCAUUUAAUACUAUAUUUUCCUAGGUUAUUUAAAUUAUGUUCAUGUUCCCUAGGUGAUCUAAUUAUGAUCAAAUAGAAUUUAGGUGUUUUAGCCUAUAAAUAUCUCCUUUUGCAAUGUAUAUAACACACUUAAGUUAUUGAAUGCAAUAGUUGAGAAAUCUUUCACAAAUCUUCUAUAAAAACUAGUCAGCCUGUGAAAACUCCUCACAUCAGACACUCCUAGGUAUUAGCCAUUCUUGUAUAGCUUUCAUUUUGUCAC